AUCCACCGCGCGGCCAAGCUGGGUGCCCCGGGGAGUCUGGCCGCCAUGCCACCUCCUCUUCUCGUCUUCUCCCUCCUCUUCCUCACCCCUGAGGGAGUCAGGCCCCAGAAAACACUGCUGGUGGAGGCUAAAGAGGGAGGCAAAGCUGAGCUGCCAUGCCUCAAAGGUCCCUCAGAUGGUCCCCCUGAGCAGCAGGCCUGGUUUCAGGGGGCUCAGUCAGAGCUGGACCCAGGUUCACAAGGCCUGGGCAUCCAGAAGGGGCCCCUGGGCCUCCAGCUCCUCAUCUUCAACGUCUCUGACCAGAUGGGGGGCUUCUACGUGUGCCAGCUGGGGCCCCCUUCUGAGCAGGCCUGGCAGUCUGGCUGGACAGUCAGCGUGGAGGGCAGCGGGGAGCUGUUCCGCUGGAAUGCUUCAUACCUAAAUGACCCAGGCUGUGGCCUGGGGAACAGGUCCUCAGAGGGCCCCAAGCCCUCUUCUGGUUACCCCACAAGCUCCCAGCUGUACGUGUGGGCCAAAGGCCACCCUGAGAUCUGGGAGACAGACCCUGACUGUGCCUCGCCCAGGGGCGGUCUGAAUCAGAGCCUCAACCAAGACGUCACCGUGGCCCCUGGCUCCACAUUCUGGCUGCCCUGUGAGGUGCCCCCCGCCUCCGUGGCCAGAGGCCCCAUCUCCUGGACCCUCGUGCGCCCCAAGAAGCAUAACAUCUCAUUGCUGCACUUAAACCUGAGGGAGGAUGCCCCGGUCAGAGAGAUGUGGGUCCUAGACACCCUCAGGGGAGGGGCUGUUCUGUUGCUGCCCCAGGCGACCGCUCAAGAUGCUGGCACCUAUCACUGUUACCAUGGCAACAUGACCAUCGAGAUGCAGCUGAAGGUCACUGCCCAGUCAGUAAGACACUGGCUGCUGGAGGCUGGUGGCUGGAAAGUCCCCGUUGUGCCAUUACUUUAUCUGAUCAUCUGCCUGGGUUCCCUGGUGAGCUUUGUUCAUCUUCGAAGAGCCCUGAUCCUCAGGAAGAAAAGAAAGCGAAUGACCGAUCCCACCAGAAGGUUCUUCAAAGUGACGCCUUCCCCGGGAAGCGGGGCCCAGAAUCAGUACGGGAACGUGCUCUCCCUUCCCACGCCCACCUCUGGGACGGGACGCGCCCUAAGGUGGGCUGCAGGCCUGGGGGCCGCCGUCCAGUCGUACGGAAACCCGCGCAGCGACGUACAGGAGGUCGGAGCCGCGGGGCCCCGGAGCCCGCCACCAGCAGGCCCAGAAGAAGAGGAAGGAGAAGCCUAUGAGGAGCCGGACAGUGAGGAGGGCUCCGAGUUCUACGAGAAUGACUCCAACCUCGGGCAGGACCAGCUCUCCCAGGAUGGCAGCGGCUAUGAGAACCCUGAGGACGACGCCUUGGGUCCCGGGGAUGAAGACUCCUUCUCCAGCGCAGCCGAGUCUUAUGAGAAUGAGGAUGAAGAGCUGGCCCAGCCAGUCGCCAGGACAGCAGACUUCCUGAGCCCCCAUGGGUCUGCCUGGGAUCCCAGCAGGGAGGCAACCUCUCUUGGUGAGAAAUGGCUAGGGACCCUCCUGCCUUGCCCAGAUUGGGUUGACCUGGCCUCAGCGCUGACUCCACACUCAACUUUGGCCUUGACUCCCACCCCAGGCCUAAUCCUGGUCUUAGAUGGACUCCUAACCUUAACCUCCACCCCAAUCCUGAAUCCCAGUAUUUACCCCAUCCCCAACUGUGAACAUCAGCUCUGAUCCCAAUCCGAUUCCAGCCUGGAUUUUGACCUCCACCUCACUGCAGCCCCAGGGCAAACGGCAGCUUUGACCCCAGUUGUCUCUACAACCUCCUCGUGACUGUGACUCUGACUUUGACUUCUUCCCGUUGGGUUCUUGACAUGGAUUAUAAUCUAAUCCAUACCUGACCGUAAUCACUCCUUCCUAGUACCCACGGAUCAAGCCUUCCACCCUCCUGCCUCUCAGAUUCCCUCUGUAUGUCAGGCCGCACUUCCCUUCCCCAAGCCCCCAGCAUGGCGCUAGGCCUCCCAACUCUCCUGCCCACGCAGGGUCCCAGUCCUACGAGGAUAUGAGAGGGAUCCUGUAUGCAGCCCCCCAGCUCCGCUCCCUUCGGGCCCAGCCGGGUCCUAAUCAUGAGGAAGAUGCAGACUCUUAUGAGAACAUGGACAAUCC
Herpailurus yagouaroundi (jaguarundi) is the source of this 2166-nucleotide RNA transcript. It is a transcript of the gene named CD19 molecule, with no coding region annotated. Lineage: Eukaryota; Metazoa; Chordata; Mammalia; Carnivora; Felidae. The transcript is spliced from 13 exons. The record is from RefSeq and is a predicted model, not a curated record.